RNAcentral lists this long non-coding RNA (1292 nucleotides) under Anas platyrhynchos platyrhynchos (common mallard). Its description in RNAcentral is "lncRNA (ENSAPLG00000027899.1)". Lineage: Eukaryota; Metazoa; Chordata; Aves; Anseriformes; Anatidae. The record is from RNAcentral.
AGGGUUUGGGAAGUCUGUAUUAUAUUCGUACUUGUCUGUUGGUUAAUCUCAGUGUCUAGCGAUGAAUUUCUACUGUCUAGAAAUGAGUUUUAUUCUAACCAGAUUGGAGCCUGGCAUCUUGAUGCCCUUUCCUUUGCCUUGAUCCAUCCCAUAAGACAUCGAUAGAUUAUUCUCUGUUACUUUAUCUUUCAAUCCCUAUUGCUUUCAUCUGGCUGUUAAACUGGUUUGACAGUUACAUCUCCACAAGUCUGUUACGCCUUGAAAUGCCAGUACAACAGGCACUCCUAACUGCUUAGAGUCAUGUGUAAAGCUCAUAUUGGUAAUUAUAAAGGGGUGAGGUUGGGGAAAGGGUUGUAAGUGGUGGACAGAGAAGAGUUUCUCUAGGGGAAACUCAGAGCACCUGUUUUAGAUUUGUAUUUUCAAUUGCCUUUGGGAGACUCUCACUCUUGUUUUUGUUUUUUUUUCUUUUUUUUUCCCCCAGGGGAAAGAGAGCAAGCCUUGUUUCCUGUAGAGCAUUGUGGCUGGAGGUUGGGAGGUAUAAACCUCUUCUUGUGUGUCUGUGUGAUGAGCAAUAGUCUCUUGACCUGUUUACUGUAGAGCAUUUAAGAGUAUUUUCCUGUUCUUCUGCAGCCUUUGGGGGUCUACAAGAGCAGAAUUGUUUUCAGAGUAUGCUGUACCAAGAGUCCUGUUGAUCACAGUGGUCAUUGAGAUUCCUGCCAAGAUGAGAACAUAAUGAAAAAGCUGAGCACAGCUUCUGUGACUCAAGCUAAGAACAGAAAAUGGAGGAAAGAAUCAGGGAAGUGGAAACGAACCAAUGAUUUUAUUAAUUGGGUUGAGUUCCCAGCAGCUUUGAUCACAACACUUGUUACAUGAGGUAUUGUCUGGGUGCCUAAUGAUGCAAUUUGACUGCUUAGGAUGUGGCCGUGGGAGCCGGUGGAGAGAGUCCCUUCCAGCCUGUCUCUGCCCCAAAAGGUAGGCUUCCCUUCUCCAUGUGCUGGCAGCUACACAGAGCGUUAUAUUGCUGCCUUAAUGCAAGGGUUUAAAUGCAAUCUGUAAGUGCUUAAUGCCUUUCAUAAUCAGGUGGCUUUGGUACCUGUACUUAGGCUUUAGCAAUUUGACUCCAGGUAGACAGGUUUGGGGACUUUGGCUGUUUCUUUUGGAUUAUCCACCAUUACUCAUCUGAAUGUUUGCAAUUACUAUAAUCCUCUCAUUGUAUCGUGUUUUGCAUUGCCACAGCAACAAAUUCCAGCAUGACUGGAGUGAUAACAGCAAUAAACUGCCACAGAAUAACA